UGCCUUUAAGACGAGGAUAACAACCGGAAGGUUACUAAGACUGGAUAGGAAACAAAAAGGCAUCUUUUUGUUUUUAAAAGACCUUCUUACGAAGGUAUGCUUAAAGAGGGGCUUGCGCCACAUUAGUUAGUUGGUAGAGUAAAAGCCUACCAAGACGAUGAUGUGUAGCUGGACUGAGAGGUUGAACAGCCACAUUGGGACUGAGACACGGCCCAAACUCCUACGGGAGGCAGCAGUAGGGAAUUUUCGGCAAUGGAGGAAACUCUGACCGAGCAACGCCGCGUGAACGAUGAAGUAUUUCGGUAUGUAAAGUUCUUUUAUUGAAGAAGAAAAAGUACCGGCAAAAACUAUAUUGACGUUAUUCGAUGAAGCAGCCCCGGCUUACUAUGCGCCAGCCGCCGCGGUACGACAUAGGGGGCGAGCGUUAUCCGGAAUUGUUGGGCGUAAAGGCUGCGUAGGCUAUUAGAUAAGUCUAUAAUUUAGUUUCAGUGCUUAACGCUGUCUUGUUAUAGAAACUGUCUUGACUAGAGUGAGAUAGAGGCAAGCGGAAUUCCAUGUGUAGCGGUAAAAUGUGUAAAUAUAUGGAGGAACACCAGAAGCGUAGGCGGCUUGCUGGGUCUUUACUGACGCUGAGGCACGAAAGCGUGGGUAGCAAACAGGAUUAGAUACCCUGGUAGUCCACGCCGUAAACGAUGAGUACUAAGUGUCGGGGUAAAACUCGGUACUGAAGUUAACACAUUAAGUACUCCGCCUGAGUAGUACGUACGCAAGUAUGAAACUUAAAGGAAUUGACGGGACUCCGCCACAAGCGGUGGAUCAUGUUGUUUAAUUCGAAGAUACACGAAAAAUCUUACCAGGUCUUGACAUACUCUGCAAAGCUAUAGAAAUAUAGUGGAGGUUAUCAGGGAUACAGGUGGUGCAUGGUUGUCGUCAGUUCGUGUCGUGAGAUGUUAGGUUAAGUCCUAAAACGAACGCAACCCUUGUCGUUAAUUGCCAGCACAUAAUGGUGGGGACUUUAACGAGACUGCCAAUUAAACAUUGGAGGAAGGUGAGGAUUACGUCAAAUCAUCAUGCCCCUUAUGAUCUGGGCUACAAACGUGAUACAAUGGCUGUGACAAAGAGUAGCUGAAACGCGAGUUUUUAGCCAAUCUCAAAAAAGCAGUCUCAGUUCGGAUUGAAGUCUGUAACUCGACUUCAUGAAGUUGGAAUCGCUAGUAAUCGCGAAUCAGCAUGUCGCGGUGAAUACGUUCUCGGGGUUUGUACACACCGCCCGUCAAACCACGAAAGUUAGCAAUGCCCGAAAGCAGUAGCUUAACUUCGCAAGAAGAGGGAACUGUCUAAGGUAGGGUUGAUGAUUGGGGUUAAGUCGUAACAAGGUAUCCCUACCGGAAGGUGGGGAUGGAUCACCUCCUUUCUAAGGACUAUAU
RNAcentral lists this ribosomal RNA (1427 nucleotides) under Brinjal little leaf phytoplasma. RNAcentral describes it as "bacterial SSU rRNA". It matches the Rfam family "Bacterial small subunit ribosomal RNA". Lineage: Bacteria; Bacillati; Mycoplasmatota; Mollicutes; Acholeplasmatales; Acholeplasmataceae. The record is from RNAcentral.